GAUUAAAAAAAAAAAAAAAGACCCAGAUCUGAGGAAAGGGGGCUCCUGGAAUCCACAGAGCUGCCAGGGCCUUGCACACCAUGCUUUCCCCUCCUCUUCCCCUGGCACACUCGUACUCACACUCAACCUUCACACUCAGCUGAGGCGUCUCCUCCUUCUAGCAGGGCUGGCUUCAUAGGGUGAGAGCUGUGGGGUCACACAGAGCCCUGUGCUAAAAAGGGCCCCAUGCUUGGUUUAAUGCUCUGCUAUUGCCAUCUUGAAACCUAAAAUCUGAGCAAGGGGCCUUUUUCAUUUUCCACUGAAAGUGGAUUUUUCAUUUUCCACUGGGCCAUACAAAUAAUGUAGCAGGUACUGCCUCCAUAACAUCUUUCUAAUGUUAGCCCUUAACCUAAGCUGAAUCUGGUGCCUCACUGGGGCUCAUAGAUCCCCUGCACUCACUCCCCUCCCUACCAGCCCUGACCACACUAAACUGUGAGACUUUACUCAUUUAUCUCCCCUCUAGAGUCUGGGCCCAUUGAAGGCUGGGGCAGAGUCCACUUGUACCUGCACAGAACUUAGCACAUAGCAGGUACUCACUAAAUGUGUGUUGAAAUGAACAGUCCAGAUGGGGGAAGGCCUGGCCCAGCUUCCUACAUGAUCCUGCCAGAGCUGGACUCCAAACCAUUUCUCUUGCUUUAGGGCCAAAACAAUCUUCCCUGUCCUCUCACUCUCCUGACCAGUGGCUGAAAGCCAAAACCAACCCAGACCAAAGCCAAAUAUAAGUUGUUUUUCUGACCUAGGACCCAAAUUAAUACAUUUUGUUUUCCCCAAAGGUACUCUGCCAUUUUCUAGAACAGUUCAAGCCAACUAACCCAGAAAUUCUAACACCCAAGGAGGACUGGGGGCCCUGCUGGGUCACAAGGGGCUCAAACUGGGUCUAGAGGCAAGAACUGGUGAGCUGUGGGCAGUCCACACUCAUGUGUGUGUGGUUGGGGGUGGAGUGGGAAUGCUGAGGCUGGAUUUUACAGGGGCCAGAAAAGGAACAGUAUGACUUACACCAGUUCUGCCAAAUCUACUAUGUGACCCCUUACAGCCUUUCAUUCAUUCAUUCAUCUAUUCAAGCAGAAAAUGCGAUGGUGAGGAAGACAGAUAAGGUUCCAGUCUUUAUGAUGUUUAUGUUCUAAUUCUCUUUGGAAUCAGAGUCCAUCAGUAAUACGGGAGGGAGGGGUGCGGGGGUACAAGCCAAAGGUGCCCACCUGGCUCCCUGUGCCAAGAAGACUCCACAGAAGCACCCUCUGGGAUUUUGCUGUUGGUAAUGGCAGCCCCCUCCUUGUCUCUGGGACCCAGGUCCAAGACUAGAAGCUGGUUAAGGCCAGUGGUUGAUGUACGUACGCAGCAGGCAACACUGUGCUGUGUUCUGAACUGCCAUCUCCGAACCUCCCCAAGGCUCCUCACUUCUCUUCUCCCUCAGCUGAGCUGUCCCCCGGCAGGCUCUGGACCCCAUCUGACCAGUUGCUACUGGAGACCGGACCCAUAGCCACCAGGAGGUGUGUGAGGCCCAGUAGGCCACCACUCCCAACAAAUACUUCUACAGCACCCUCUGGGCUGUGUCCAGCACCAGAAGGAAAAGGCGCCGGCCCGCCUGCUAGAAGUCUGGGCUCCACUGUGGGCAUCCGGGAAGAGCCGUCAAAGGAACGAAUGGCCAGGCCUGCGCAGACUCUAACUUCUGGGCAAUCUGGAGUGUGGGCACAGAUACCAGUGCUUCGCUGUUCAGAAAGGGGAGCAUUCAGGAAUCUGGGGAGCGGCAAAAAUAAAACGUUUCAAUUCUCUAAAUUCGAAAAUGGAAAAAAAACGUUUUGAGACCCAGUCCCAAGCCAGGAACAAGUCCUACAGACCGAUUUUCAGCCGGGCCCAAUCAAUCACUGACAACGUUACUUCAGUGUCCUGAGAGCCCACCAAUCAGCAAAGGUCUUACUCCAGCGGCGCUUCCGAAAGCUAGCCAAUCCCUAAACGCCAAGGCUGAUAGCAAAUCUGCAGACAGUCUGGCUGCUGAAAAUCAGCCAAUUGCUGAAGGCCGUGCUUUCCAUCCCUGUGUAAGAUCAGCCGUGGGUUGCUUGGAGUCUGUGGUUUUUGACGGAGAAACUGAGGCUCAGGUAUGCUCUGGGAUUUGCUCAAGAUCACUAAGGAGUAUGCAGGACCUAGUUUAGACUCAAGCAGUCUACGGUUUGAAUUUCUGUGAGGAAAGCAAUUAAAGAACAUGCUAGAGGAUACCCAGCAUUCUGUAAUCAGGUCAGGACAUGGCGUUGGGAGCCCCCCGCUUGCUUGACUCCUGGAACUGCUGCUUCCUGGCUGUGCCAUCCUGAGCAAGGUACUCCAGCUCGGUUGUCCUGUCUAAAAUACGCCUGAUAACCAUAGCUCAGGAGAUUGUUGUCCACUAAAGUCAUUAUGAACUGUAAGGCACCAGACUGAUGUUAUCCUCAUAAGAAGGGCCAAUGGCCUCAGGCACUGUGAGCCGAGGUGCAGGCUGCAGGCUUGGGGGUGGCUAGAGGGGCAGUGAAUGCCCCUGGCAGACCUAUACUGGGGGAAGGGUAUUAUCUUGGUUGUCCCAGGCCACGCAGUGCCCAGCAAGCAUGUGUGCCCUGCACCACGGCCCUGAGGCUCACCUCCUCCAGGAAGCACUGAACAUUGCUGUACCUGGGCUGUGCUGGUUCUUCAUGUCCAGAAUCUCACUCAGUUGGCCUGAUUAUCCCAUGAGGUGAGUGACAGUUACCCUAAUUUUUAUACCUGUGUAAACUGAACUUCAGAGAGAGAAGUGAUGUGCCUGUGGCAGCACAGCUAAGAAGUGGCAGAGAUAGGGUUUGCACUCAGGAGAGCUGGGCACCAAUCUCAGCUCCCAGCCCUCCAGCAGAGAGGAUGGGUCCCCUCAGCUGUACCCCAGCCCGCCCCAGCCUCAAGAGUACAUGCUCAGGUGCAGGGAGGGCCCUCCUGCCCUGCAGGGCCUGUCUCAACUUGUCCUGGGGUGGGGAGCCCAGCUCCCUGGUGGAAGCACAUCAGGUCACAGUGACAGUCCUGGCUCCCAGGGACUGGCUUCCAGCCACAGCUUUUGUGGGGAGGCACUCUAUACCCUGAACCUGGAGGGCAGGGCCAGCCAGUCAAGGAGCCCCUCAAAGUCCAUCAGGGUGCUGGGGACCAGAGGGGUGGCAGGAGUAGGUGAGAGGUGGCAGGCCCUGCCUGAGAAAUAAAGAGAUCUGUUCUUGGGUACAGAUGGAGGCCGUGGGUGACAGGCCCCGGGAGCCUGGGCAAGCCUCUCAUGUCCAAACCGAGGUCCACCUGUCCGCUGCCUCCCUCGGCCCACAGCCCAGCUGAGCAGCGGGCACUCCCUCCUCAGCCGCCCCAAACUGCCUUCCCAGCCCUUUGUCUUCACGGGCUGCGUGCUGCACCUCUGGAUACAAACAGAGACCAGGGUCACAGGUGAGGUCAGGAUGACCUCAGGCUGACACUUCUGCCCUUCACCUGGCUGUGGUUGGCAUCUCAGCACACAGUGCUGAGGGUGUGGGUCGCAGGAAGCCCUGUGGACUUCUGGAGAGUUCCACUCAGAAGAUAACGUAGGUAAGGAGGACCAUACGGGGGACAGUGGGUGCCCCUUGAUUGCCCACUGGAGACAAGAAUCCCGGCGAGUUUCUGAGUCCCUUCUCCUGAUGGAACAAGCCCGCCUUGAGGCCUUUUGUCCACAGGGUUGUCCUGGCAUGUUUCCUGGUUGUCACCUCAGAAUUGCAAUAGGAUGGGCCAGAACUGGGGAGCUAGGAUUAGAAUGUGCUGGGAUUGGGAUGGAGAUGGCUGGGCUGGGCACAGCUGGGGGUGGGGACAAGAGGCUUGAAAGCUGAAGAGUUUUAUUGGAAGGAACUGUCUGCCCUCCCGGCUCCAGCACUGAGCCUUUGGAGGAAGGGCAGACUGGGGAGGGAUUUUUGGCUUUCUGGCCUCCCCACUCUGACUUGCAGAACCGCUUUCCAGAGAGGGGCAAGCAGACUUCAACCCGCCCCUUUUCAGAGUCCUGCCUGCCUCCCAGGAGCUGGCCUGAGGACUGAGAGGAACACAGGCUCACUGAGUGCUCACUGUCUGCCAGGCCAGAUCCAGGCACAGUAGAACUUUGACCUCUCCGCAAACCUGGGGGCACAAUCAUCAUCCCACAGUCAAGGACCCUGGCGCUCAGAGGGGCUAAGAGGCUUGCUUGAGGUGCCACAGCCAGGAAUGGCAAGUUGGAAUUUGGGCCUGAGUUAGGUGGCCGGUUCCCCUUUUCUCCAGAGCAUCCCUAAGACGCAAUGCUAGUGCAAGGAAGGAGAUGGUCAUGGGCAGUUCGCAGCCAGGACAGUGAGGCCGCAGUCUCCCAGCAGUGGGACUUUUCCAGAUGGAGCUAGAGACCCAUUUGGAAGUCAAGCUCUGCCCUGGCCAAGGCUUCUCCCCAGCUGCAGGGAGUAUUUACCUGUCUCCUGCUGCCCAGGCUCUAAUCACGUGACUGGCCACAGCUCAAGGCCAGCCCCAUGUGGCCUCUCAGUCUAUAGGCCUGCUGGUCCCCAGCACCUCCUACCCCAGGCCUUAAUGUGCGGAUCACACUCAUUCCCCAGGCACUGGCAGUGCCCCGUGGGCUCCCCACCGCCAGUGAGGCCUCUCUCCUUGGCUGGCGCUGCCCUGUGUCUGCAGGAGGGGACAAGAAGAGGCUUCCCUCAGAUGCUCACCUCCUGCCCUGUGGCUGGAUGCCACCGCUGCUGGCUUCCUACGCCAGGCACGACUGGUCACCACACACCCAGCCUUUGUUAUCCUCUACGGAACCUCUGUUGCUUCUGUGUCAAGGAAGCUGGGGAAGCUGAGCGCCCCUGUGCUGUGCUGCCCACUUCCCCCUAGGCAGCACCUCACUUCUCCUUUUGCCCUUGCAGGAGGCCUCAGCCUCAGCCCUGGCAGCCUUUACAGCCAGGGCCCGUAACCCGG
Non-coding RNA from Microcebus murinus (gray mouse lemur), 4962 nucleotides. Lineage: Eukaryota; Metazoa; Chordata; Mammalia; Primates; Cheirogaleidae. The record is from RefSeq and is a predicted model, not a curated record.